GCUUCUGAUGAGGUAAUUUGCGAUUGAUUCUACUUCGAUGGCGCUCUCGCCGGAGCUGCUAUAUCGGAUAGAAAACUGAUAGUUAUUUCUUACAUAUUCUGACA
RNAcentral lists this small nucleolar RNA (104 nucleotides) under Xylaria grammica. RNAcentral describes it as "A. fumigatus snoRNA Afu_514". It matches the Rfam family "A. fumigatus snoRNA Afu_514". The record is from Rfam by way of RNAcentral. RNAcentral also lists the same sequence under 1 other name. Lineage: Eukaryota; Fungi; Ascomycota; Sordariomycetes; Xylariales; Xylariaceae.